This 1616-nucleotide long non-coding RNA is filed under the name Manihot esculenta (cassava). Its description in RNAcentral is "long non-coding RNA (MESC_LNC000293)". Lineage: Eukaryota; Viridiplantae; Streptophyta; Magnoliopsida; Malpighiales; Euphorbiaceae. The record is from RNAcentral.
AUGGGAUAAAGAUGCACAAACAAAAGAAGAAAUUCAAAUGGAACAUCAUCUGAAUUCAUCAGAAUCAAUAUCAAUUACCUAAACCGAGACUGGAACCAUUUUACUGAAUGACUUGAUCGAUCGUACUAGAUAGAGAGCCUCAGAUGGACCAUAAACCUUUCAUAAGAAAUUCCUCGAUCCAUUCAGUAAUGCGCAAGAGAAAGCGAUCCAUCAGACUAGAGGGAAGUUGGUCUUUCUCCAUGACCCCCUUCGCGCAACUUCUCGCGUAAGGCCUUCGCUCGAAUGUCGUUCCCAGGGCCUUCUGCCAUAGGUUCCCCCUACUGAAAGAAGAAGACUUUCCGUUUCUACUUUUGCUUCUGAAGUCAGAUUGCAAUUUAUGCCCUCUGGUAUCCCGGCUGUCACCGACCCAUUUCAGGUCACACAAGGCUAAGCUCAUGGGAGAGGACUACCUCACUUGACUAGAAAAGCAAAGGGCAGAACGAAUCUCUAAAUCUCUAUUAUAUAAGAGAAUUCUUGUCUCACUUUCUCUCAAUCUAUUGAAAUGAAUAUCGUUUACUAAGAGAAUAUAUGAGCUCCGGUAGACUGAACUUCACACUUGACUUUCUUAUCGUUCGUCCGUUCCAGGUAUUACAAUAAGUAUGUAGCUCUUUCUCUUUCUCCUUUCAAGUAUUCAAUUCCCUUCAUUGGGGUAUAGAGUCCCAUAGCUGGGUAAGAAGUCAGAACUCAGCUACUCCUGAACUCAUUAACUCAAUAGCUAGGGAAGGGGUGUCGCCCCUCUUCUUUUCUUAUAAGAAUAAGGGUCUUUUUUCAUUCUAUUAUAGUUUUUCGGCUAAAAAGAGGAGAUGGGCUAAGGUGCAAUUUCUCAAAUAAAGUAAAGAGCGGAACUACUUCACUCUUAGCUCAUAAAAUCAUUACCUCAACAACUCGAACUCUUGAACAAAAGAAUGAAAAAAAUUGAAGAACUAUGGAGCUCCAGAAGAAGACUUUAUUUUCUUUCCAACAAGAGCUACCGCUGGGGGUCUACUAAUAAUAAGAAGGACCCCUCCCGAUAGGACGGAGGAGGAGGAAAGUCUGAGAGAGGAAGCCCUAUCUAACUCAGUCCGAGAGAAAGCUCUUUCAGUCAACUCUUUUUUUCCUAUAUCAUAUAAAUUCUAAACUAAGGAAGAAAUAAAGAAGAUUAUAUAAACCAAUAAGAGGAAGAGAUCGGGCUCGGACAUUGAAGCUCUAUCCUAAGAGUAAGAACACUAUAAAAAGAAGACCGAUUGAGUGGUUCGGCUACUCAACCUCGCCAGGGCAGGAGCCCUAGACAGUCUUGAACUAUCUCUACUGAUACAAGCCUACUCUUAACAGCCCUCAGCCUAUCGGUGGAUCUACUAUAGGUAUAUCUUUCAGAAGAUCAUUAUAGAGAAUGAAGCACGAAAUUGAAUAAGAGAAUCAGUCUAUCUCUAGCUCUCGCUACAUCUAGUUCGCUCGCACGCUCCGUUCGCUCGUUACUAGUAUUCCACUCGCUCAAGCAAGAAAGUGAUACGGAUCCAAUAGGGCAAAUUUCUAACAAUGGUAUAGAGCAAACUUAUGUCAUUCAAAUGGAUCUAAAAGGAGUUCAAAAUCAUAUUCAU